CCGCAUUGUGCUCAUGAAAGCACACACACACAGUUCUCACACACAUGCGCACAGACUCCCACACACAGACUCACACACAGACUCACACACAGACUCACACAUUCCCCCCACACAGUACUCACACACAUGCCCAGAGACUCACACACAGACUCACACACAGACUCACACAUUCCCCCAUACACAGUUCUCACACACAUGAACACAGACUCACACACAGACUCACACGCACAGACUCACACUUUCCCCCCCACAAAAUACUCACACACAUGCCCAGAGACUCACACACAGAGUCACACAUGCCCAGAGACUCACACACAGACUCACACAUUCCCCCCCAGACAGUACUCACACACAUGCCCAGAGACUCACACACAGACUCACACACAGACUCACACAUUCCCCUACACACAGUACUCACACACAUGCCCAGAGACUCACACACAGACUCACACACAGAGUCACACAUUACCCCCC
RNAcentral lists this long non-coding RNA (474 nucleotides) under Homo sapiens (human). RNAcentral describes it as "HSALNT0175780". Lineage: Eukaryota; Metazoa; Chordata; Mammalia; Primates; Hominidae. The record is from RNAcentral.